AGUGAACGCUGGCGGUAGGCCUAACACAUGCAAGUCGAACGGCAGCACAGUAAGAGCUUGCUCUUACGGGUGGCGAGUGGCGGACGGGUGAGGAAUACAUCGGAAUCUACUUUUUCGUGGGGGAUAACGUAGGGAAACUUACGCUAAUACCGCAUACGACCUACGGGUGAAAGCAGGGGAUCUUCGGACCUUGCGCGAUUGAAUGAGCCGAUGUCGGAUUAGCUAGUUGGCGGGGUAAAGGCCCACCAAGGCGACGAUCCGUAGCUGGUCUGAGAGGAUGAUCAGCCACACUGGAACUGAGACACGGUCCAGACUCCUACGGGAGGCAGCAGUGGGGAAUAUUGGACAAUGGGCGCAAGCCUGAUCCAGCCAUACCGCGUGGGUGAAGAAGGCCUUCGGGUUGUAAAGCCCUUUUGUUCGGGAAGAAAAGCAGCAGGUUAAUACCCCGCUGUUCUGACGGUACCCAAAGAAUAAGCACCGGCUAACUUCGUG
RNAcentral lists this ribosomal RNA (492 nucleotides) under uncultured bacterium. Its description in RNAcentral is "partial 16S ribosomal RNA". It matches the Rfam family "Bacterial small subunit ribosomal RNA", at positions 29 to 507 of the family's 1533-position model. The record is from RNAcentral.